Vidua chalybeata is the source of this 281-nucleotide long non-coding RNA. RefSeq lists it as uncharacterized. The record is from RefSeq and is a predicted model, not a curated record. The transcript has 3 exons. Lineage: Eukaryota; Metazoa; Chordata; Aves; Passeriformes; Viduidae.
UUCCUCUGCCUGGUUUUUAAUAGCUGCAAAUCUUUCCGCUGCCCGCAGUGAGCUGAAUGCAGCAACAGCAAGUAGGGGGAAAGCAUGUGCAGGUCAGCUGGAGCCAGCUCCACCUCCCAGAUUUGGUGUCAAAUGUCAGGAUGUUGUGCACCUCGCUCCGAGGCAGAAGGAGCCCAUACCUGUCAAGGUCCUUGGCUCCUUUCCAGAGGUCAAUGCAGGCACAGCUCCACUGCUACUGAGAACACAGAGACUGAGGGGAGGCUACAGAGUUAAUAUUUCCC